Molecule: ribosomal RNA, 1325 nt
Filed under: metagenome
Description: bacterial LSU rRNA
Rfam family: Bacterial large subunit ribosomal RNA
Source: RNAcentral
AGUGGAUGGGGAGCAACCUAGUUGUGCGUGUGUAAAGGUAGUGCCAAGAAAAGCGAUGAUCAUGUUGAAAAUCAAUUCCCGGUACCCGAAACCGACACAGGUGGGCAAGUAGAGAAUACUAAGGGGCGCGAGGUAACUCUCUCCAAGGAACUCGGCAAAAUGACCCCGUAACUUAGGGAGAAGGGGUGCCACCGAGAGGUGGUCGCAGUGAAGAGGCCCAGGCGACUGUUUAGCAAAAACAUAGGUCUCUGCAAACUCGAAAGAGGAGGUAUAGGGGCUGACGCCUGCCCAGUGCCGGAAGGUUAAAGAAGUUGGUCAGUUUUAGGAUGAAGCUAGCGACUGAAGCCCCGGUGAACGGCGGCCGUAACUAUAACGGUCCUAAGGUAGCGAAAUUCCUUGUCGGGUAAGUUCCGACCCGCACGAAAGGCGUAACGAUCUGGGCGCUGUCUCGGAGAGAGGCUCGGCGAAAUAGGAUUGUCUGUGAAGAUACGGACUACCUGCAUUUGGACAGAAAGACCCUAUGAAGCUUUACUAUAGCUUGGAAUUGUGUUCGGGCUUCCUGUGCGCAGGAUAGGUGGGAGGCGUAGAAGGUAUUCUUGUGGGGAUACUGGAGCCAACGGUGAGAUACCACUCUCAGGAGGCUAGAAUUCUAACUUAAUUAAGGACAUUUUCAGGUGGGUAGUUUGACUGGGGCGGUCGCCUCCAAAAAGGUAACGGAGGCGUACAAAGGUUCCCUCAGACUGGUUGGAAAUCAGUCGAAGAGUGCAAAGGCAGAAGGGAGCUUGACUGCGAGAAGUACAGUUCGAGCAGGGUGGAAACACGGUCUUAGUGAUCCGACGGUGCUGUGUGGAAGGGCCGUCGCUCAACGGAUAAAAGUUACUCUAGGAUAACAGGCUGAUCUCCCCCAAGAGUUCACAUCGACGGGGAGGUUUGGCACCUCGAUGUCGGCUCAUCGCAACCUGGGGCGGAAGUACGUCCCAAGGGUUGGGCUGUUCGCCCAUUAAAGCGGUACGUGAGCUGGGUUCAGAACGUCGUGAGACAGUUCGGUCCAUAUCCGAUGUAGGCGUGAGAAUAUUGAGAGGAGCCUUCCUUAGUACGAGAGGACCGGGAAGGACGCACCGCUGGUGUACCUGUUAUGAUGCCAAUUGUAAACGCAGGGUAGCCAAGUGCGGAGAGGAUAACCGCUGAAAGCAUCUAAGUGGGAAGCCCACCUCAAGAUGAGUAUUCUGGUGUAAGGUCACGGGAAGACGACCCGUAAAUAGGCACGAGGUGGAAGUGCAGAGAUGUAUGAAGCCGAAGUGUACUAAUAGACCGUCGGCUUGAGC